UCCAGACUCCUACGGGAGGCAGCAGUGGGGAAUAUUGCACAAUGGGGGAAACCCUGAUGCAGCGACGCCGCGUGAGUGAAGAAGUAAUUCGUUACGUAAAGCUCUAUCAGCAGGGAAGAAAAUGACGGUACCUGACUAAGAAGCCCCGGCUAACUACGUGCCAGCAGCCGCGGUAAUACGUAGGGGGCAAGCGUUAUCCGGAAUUACUGGGUGUAAAGGGAGCGCAGACGGCAGUGCAAGUCUGGAGUGAAAGCCCGUGGCUUAACUACGGGACUGCUCUGGAAACUGUGCAGCUAGAGUGCAGGAGAGGCAGGCGGAAUUCCUAGUGUAGCGGUGAAAUGCGUAGAUAUUAGGAGGAACACCAGUGGCGAAGGCGGCUUACUGGACUGUAACUGACGUUGAGGCUCGAAAGCGUGGGGAGCAAACAGGAUUAGAUACCCCCGUAAG
Molecule: ribosomal RNA, 447 nt
Filed under: uncultured bacterium
Lineage: Bacteria
Description: partial 16S ribosomal RNA
Rfam family: Bacterial small subunit ribosomal RNA
Source: RNAcentral